GAUGAAGAACGUAGUGAAAUGCGAUAAGUAAUGUGAAUUGCAGAAUUCAGUGAAUCAUCGAGUCUUUGAACGCACAUUGCGCCCCCUGGUAUUCCGGGGGGCAUGCCUGUCCGAGCGUCAUUGCCGCCCUCAAGCACGGCUUGUGUGUUGGGCCCCCGCCCCCCGGCUUCGGGGGGCGGGCCCGAAAGGCAGCGGCGGUACCGCGUCCGGUCCUCGAGCGUAUGGGGCUUCGUCACCCGCUCUGUAGGCCCGGCCGGCGCCCGCCGGCGACCCCAAUCAAUCUUUCCAGGUUGACCUCGGAUCAGGUAGGGAUACCCGCUGAACUUAAGCAUAUCAAUAAGCGGAGGA
Molecule: unclassified non-coding RNA, 348 nt
Filed under: soil metagenome
Description: partial contains 5.8S ribosomal RNA, internal transcribed spacer 2, and large subunit ribosomal RNA
Rfam family: 5.8S ribosomal RNA (bases 1-120)
Source: RNAcentral